Molecule: ribosomal RNA, 465 nt
Filed under: uncultured bacterium
Lineage: Bacteria
Description: partial 16S ribosomal RNA
Rfam family: Bacterial small subunit ribosomal RNA
Source: RNAcentral
GACGAACGCUGGCGGCGUGCUUAACACAUGCAAGUCGAACGGAAAGGCCCCUUUGGGGGUACUCGAGUGGCGAACGGGUGAGUAACACGUGAGUAACCUGCCCUUGACUUCGGGAUAACUUCAGGAAACUGGGGCUAAUACCGGAUAGGAAUCCUUGCUGCAUGGUGGGGGUUGGAAAGCUUCGGCGGUUUUGGAUGGACUCGCGGCAUAUCAGCUUGUUGGUGGGGUAGUGGCUUACCAAGGCUUUGACGGGUAGCCGGCCUGAGAGGGCGACCGGCCACAUUGGGACUGAGAGACGGCCCAGACUCCUACGGGAGGCAGCAGGGGGGAAGAUUGCACAAUGGGCGGAAGCCUGAUGCAGCAACGCCGCGUGCGGGAUGACGGCCUUCGGGUUGUAAACCGCUUUCAGCAGGGGCGAAGCUUGUGGUGACGGUACCUGCAGAAGAAGCACCGGCUAACUACGUG